RNAcentral lists this ribosomal RNA (342 nucleotides) under Triticum aestivum (bread wheat). RNAcentral's name for it is "partial small subunit ribosomal RNA". The record is from RNAcentral. Lineage: Eukaryota; Viridiplantae; Streptophyta; Magnoliopsida; Poales; Poaceae.
AUGGCCCGUACUAAGCAGACUGCUCGUAAGUCCACUGGAGGAAAGGCUCCUAGGAAGCAGCUAGCCACCAAGGCUGCCCGUAAGUCUGCUCCCACAACUGGAGGAGUGAAGAAGCCUCACCGUCACCGCCCUGGAACUGUUGCUCUUCGAUUGAGAUCCGCAAGUACCAGUAGAGCACGGAGCUACUCAUCAGGAAGCUUCCAUUCCAGAGGCUUGUUAGGGAGAUUGCCCAGGACUUCAAGACUGACCUCCGCUUCCAGAGCCAUGCGGUGCUGGCCCUUCAGGAGGCUGCAGAGACCUACCUGGUGGGUCUCUUCAAGGAUCCGUGGCGAGAGGGCUUAA